GACGAACGCUGGCGGCGUGCCUAAUACAUGCAAGUAGAACGCUGAAGGAGGAGCUUGCUUCUCUGGAUGAGUUGCGAACGGGUGAGUAACGCGUAGGUAACCUGCCUGGUAGCGGGGGAUAACUAUUGGAAACGAUAGCUAAUACCGCAUAAUAGUAGAUGUUGCAUGACAUUUGCUUAAAAGGUGCAAUUGCAUCACUACCAGAUGGACCUGCGUUGUAUUAGCUAGUUGGUGGGGUAACGGCUCACCAAGGCGACGAUACAUAGCCGACCUGAGAGGGUGAUCGGCCACACUGGGACUGAGACACGGCCCAGACUCCUACGGGAGGCAGCAGUAGGGAAUCUUCGGCAAUGGACGGAAGUCUGACCGAGCAACGCCGCGUGAGUGAAGAAGGUUUUGGGAUCGUAAAGCUCUGUUGUAAGAGAAGAACGAGUGUGAGAGUGGAAAGUUCACACUGUGACGGUAUCUUACCAGAAAGGGACGGCUAACUACGUG
This 495-nucleotide ribosomal RNA is filed under the name uncultured bacterium. RNAcentral's name for it is "partial 16S ribosomal RNA". It matches the Rfam family "Bacterial small subunit ribosomal RNA", at positions 28 to 507 of the family's 1533-position model. The record is from RNAcentral.